Molecule: ribosomal RNA, 241 nt
Filed under: uncultured Actinomycetales bacterium
Lineage: Bacteria; Bacillati; Actinomycetota; Actinomycetes; Actinomycetales
Description: partial 16S ribosomal RNA
Rfam family: Bacterial small subunit ribosomal RNA
Source: RNAcentral
ACUCGAGUGGCGAACGGGUGAGUAACACGUGGGUGAUCUGCCCUGCACUCUGGGAUAAGCCUGGGAAACUGGGUCUAAUACCGGAUAGGACCAUGCUUUAGUGUGUGUGGUGGAAAGUUUUUCGGUGUAGGAUGAGCCCGCGGCCUAUCAGUUUGUUGGUGGGGUAAUGGCCUACCAAGGCGGCGACGGGUAGCCGGACUGAGAGGUUGGUCGGCCACAUUGGGACUGAGAUACGGCCCAG